UGCAUGUGUUCAAAACUAAUUGGAUAAAUUAAUAGAAAAAACAUUGAGCUAGGGUUAUUUAAAAAAAAAAAAAAGAUGUCAACUGUGCAGGAAAUUUCAGAGGAAGAACUAGCUGAAACCUAGGAGUGAAUUCCUAGGAAAUACGUGCCUCUCUUAUGCUUUUCCCUAGGAGUUCAAUAUUUGCUGAUUCCAAGUACAGCACACUGGACUAGUUGGAUCUUUCAUCUGACGUUUUAUGGUGCAAUGGAAAGAUGCUGAAUACUGAAGUCUCCCAGGCGGAGGAGGUUUCCAGUACUGCGCAACCUCUUCAGAAGUGGGGGCCCAACGGUGUGGGCUGUUCCUCUUUCUCCUGCUGAGGGAGUUCAUUCUCUUCCUGCAGGCUGCUCUUCAGUUCUUAAACAGGUCAAGUAUGACUCCGCAGACAGACAUGGUGCAAGGGCAGCUAAAAGGGCCAUAUCAAUUCCUGAUGUCAUCUGACUUAGCCCCAGUUUAGAGGUGAGAUCCUUGCUGACUGCCCAUAACCUUCAUGGGAAAGAAAAUGAAGAAGUCACACCUUAGGAGAGACAAGGCAAGCCAUCCCUAGUAAAUGGUUAUGAUUGUAUUUCUUCUUUCAGCAGACCUAGCAAUAUGGUUAGACCUUGGACUGAGUCCUUA
This 654-nucleotide long non-coding RNA is filed under the name Struthio camelus australis. RNAcentral describes it as "lncRNA (ENSSCUG00000015227.1)". The record is from RNAcentral. Lineage: Eukaryota; Metazoa; Chordata; Aves; Struthioniformes; Struthionidae.